CGCCUGUAGCCCCAGCUACUCGGGAGGCUGAGCCAGGAGAAUGGCGUGAACCCGGGAGGCAGAGCUUGCAGUGAGCCGAGAUCGCUCCACGGCACUCCAGCUUGGGCAACAGAGCGAGACUCCAUCUUAAAAAAAAAAAAAAAAAGAAACAUCAGUGGAAGAGGAAGAAACUGCAGGUACAGGAAUAAACUUACGUGAUCCUCAUUUCAAGGAGAAGAAGGAGAAGUUGAAGAAGGAGGAGAAGGAGAAGGAUGAGAAGAAAAACAAGAAGAGGAAGGAGAAGGAGGAGGAAAAUGAGAAGGAGAAGAAGAGAAGGAACAGCAGCAGUUGCAGGAGGAGGAGAAAGAGGAGGAGGAGGAGGAGGGAGUGUGCAGAAGCUGGGGGGGAUUCCAAUGUUGGAAGCAUUUUUAGCGUACAACAACAUCCAAGUGGAUUACUAUGAAUGCCUAGACCUCUAUGGCAAACAGUCUCUUCGUGGCCUGUGCUGAGGACUACAUCAGUCUCCUGCAAUUAUCAUCUACACUGAAAAACAAAGAGGACAGAGGCGAAGCUAGUGGCCCUCACCAUCCCCUGCAAGCUGAUUGCUUCUUACUGCAAGCACUUGAGCAUCUUCCUGAGAGCUUUCUUGGGCAAUGGGAACCAGGCUUGGCCCAAUCACAGGCAGGUGAAGUAUGAGGAAAUGGAGAAGGCAUUGUCCAAGGAGCAGUCUUCAACCUUCACCCCGCAAGUGAGACAACUCUGAAUAAGAUGUGUUCUACACUCUCUUCCAAAGGUCCCCAGUUGGAUGGAGCUCUAGCUGCUCAUGUGAUAAGCUGCCUAUUAAUACACAAAAGAUUGCCUUUCCUCCUUGCUCUGUCUUCCUGCUGCUCUCCUACUAAUGUUUCCUGGGAUUGCCUCCAAAUAAACCACUUGAACUCA
Molecule: long non-coding RNA, 918 nt
Organism: Homo sapiens (human)
Lineage: Eukaryota; Metazoa; Chordata; Mammalia; Primates; Hominidae
Product: long intergenic non-protein coding RNA 687
Source: Ensembl